CCUACGGGUGGCAGCAGUGGGGGAUAUUGCACAAUGGGGGAAACCCUGAUGCAGCGACGCCGCGUGUGGGAAGACGGUCCUCUGGAUUGUAAACCACUGUCCCCAGGGACGAAGAUGACGGGACCUGGGGAGGAAGCGCCGGCUAACUACGUGCCAGCAGCCGCGGUAAUACGGAGGGAGCGAGCGUGGUCCGGAAGUACGGGGGGGAAAGGGAGCGGAGGCGGGGAUGCAAGUGGGGUGUCAAAACUACCGGCUCAACUGGGAGUCGCACUCAAAACUGCCGCUCUUUAGUGAAGUAGAGGCAGGCGGCAUUCCUCGUGUAGCGGUGAACUGCGUCGAUAUUAGGAGGAACCCCAGUUGCGACGGCGGCCUGCUGGGCUUUUCCUGCCGCUGAGGCUC
This 399-nucleotide ribosomal RNA is filed under the name uncultured bacterium. RNAcentral's name for it is "partial 16S ribosomal RNA". It matches the Rfam family "Bacterial small subunit ribosomal RNA", at positions 338 to 754 of the family's 1533-position model. The record is from RNAcentral.